This 223-nucleotide unclassified non-coding RNA is filed under the name Hevea brasiliensis (rubber tree). Lineage: Eukaryota; Viridiplantae; Streptophyta; Magnoliopsida; Malpighiales; Euphorbiaceae. The record is from RNAcentral.
GCGCCAUCUACAACUGCAUCAAAUGGACCAUGCUGCUGCAGCCACUCCUGGAACUGAACAAAGUUGGACUUAACCUCCCUUUGGCAAGCCAAAUUGGAUAAUGAGGUAGCAAAGUUUUCUGUUUCUCCUGGAUCUAUGUCAAUGCAAACAAGCUUCUCCCCACAAGAAUGACAAACACCCUUCUCAUCAAUUUGAGUCCUCACUGCUCUCCAUCGACCACUCC